CCUACGGGUGGCAGCAGUCGAGAAUCAUUCACAAUGGGGGAAACCCUGAUGGUGCGACGCCGCGUGGGGGAAUGAAGGUCUUCGGAUUGUAAACCCCUGUCAUGUGGGAGCAAAUUAAAAAGAUAGUACCACAAGAGGAAGAGACGGCUAACUCUGUGCCAGCAGCCGCGGUAAUACAGAGGUCUCAAGCGAUGUUCGGAAUCACUGGGCGUAAGGCGUGCGUAGGCUGUUUCGUAAGUCGUGUGUGAAAGGCGCGGGCUCAACCCGCGGACGGCACAUGAUACUGCGAGACUAGAGUAAUGGAGGGGGAACCGGAAUUCUCGGUGUAGCAGUGAAAUGCGUAGAUAUCGAGAGGAACACUCGUGGCGAAGGCGGGUUCCUGGACAUUAACUGACGCUGAGGCACGAAGGCCAGGGGAGCGAAAGGGAUUAGAUACCCUGGUAGUC
RNAcentral lists this ribosomal RNA (446 nucleotides) under uncultured bacterium. RNAcentral's name for it is "partial 16S ribosomal RNA". It matches the Rfam family "Bacterial small subunit ribosomal RNA", at positions 338 to 795 of the family's 1533-position model. The record is from RNAcentral.